CCUGGUCAAGUAUGAAUGUGCUUUAAAAGAAAAAAGGAAACAUAAGGGUGGAAAUAAAAUUAAAAAAGUGGUAAAUAAGCGUAUUGUCAAAGAGUCUUAAUCACUAAAAGAAAUCCCAAAAGAUACCAUACCAGCCCUAAACCGAUAUUACAAGUUGAAUUAAGUCCUUUAGUGAUCCUAUCCCGAUUGUUCAAAAACUCAAGAAAAGAGCAUAUGAGCAAUCCAAAGGUAUUUUGUAUACACCGGCCGAUACUUCUUUGUGAUCGAG
RNAcentral lists this long non-coding RNA (268 nucleotides) under Capsicum annuum. Its description in RNAcentral is "long non-coding RNA (CANN_LNC007006)". Lineage: Eukaryota; Viridiplantae; Streptophyta; Magnoliopsida; Solanales; Solanaceae. The record is from RNAcentral.